This 253-nucleotide ribosomal RNA is filed under the name uncultured bacterium. RNAcentral's name for it is "partial 16S ribosomal RNA". It matches the Rfam family "Bacterial small subunit ribosomal RNA", at positions 524 to 776 of the family's 1533-position model. The record is from RNAcentral.
GACAGAGGGUGCAAGCGUUAUCCGGAUUCACUGGGUUUAAAGGGUGCGUAGGUGGGUCUGUAAGUCAGUGGUGAAAUCUCCGGGCUUAACCCGGAAACUGCCAUUGAUACUAUAGGUCUUGAAUUAUCUGGAGGUGAGCGGAAUAUGUCAUGUAGCGGUGAAAUGCUUAGAUAUGACAUAGAACACCAAUUGCGAAGGCAGCUCACUACGGAUAUAUUGACACUGAGGCACGAAAGCGUGGGGAUCAAACAGG